Molecule: ribosomal RNA, 300 nt
Filed under: Triticum aestivum (bread wheat)
Lineage: Eukaryota; Viridiplantae; Streptophyta; Magnoliopsida; Poales; Poaceae
Description: partial small subunit ribosomal RNA
Source: RNAcentral
AUGGUCAAGCCGCUGCCUCCACGUCGAGUCGCCGUGCUCACCUCCAAGCUACCACGACCUCAUGCACGCAGCCUUGUCUGCUCCUUGUUGUUAAAGAAGCCUCUGAACCAAGUAAUAGCACUACUGAUCUAUGAUCGACCUGUCGCUUUACCUCUGCUGUGUAUCACUACCGUCUCAGGCUACUGCUCAUCUUCUGAUGUCCGACUAAGUGAACCGUUGUGCGAGAGCCACCACUGCAAUCUGCCUUGCCGUCCAGAGCCGCCGUCGGGGCCCGCAUCCGCGGCCUCGCAUCCGCCUUGA